This 508-nucleotide long non-coding RNA is filed under the name Lynx pardinus (Iberian lynx). The record is from RNAcentral. Lineage: Eukaryota; Metazoa; Chordata; Mammalia; Carnivora; Felidae.
CACACAGCCCAGCCCCUGCUGCCUGUCAAACAUGGCCACAUAAGCCAGAGUGACUAAAACCAGAUCUACUCCAGGACCCUGUUUCACACCGUUUCCAAUAGGAUGUGAAUCAGACAAGAUACCAUCAACCAAGCAUUCAGUCAGGAAACAGGACCUUGGUAAACCUUUCGGGGUGACCCGUCUUCCACUGCCAGGAUCCAGCCCGACUGACAGCAUCUAUUAGAAUGCUGCGGAACGAAACCCCCUUAAACCCCACAAAAUGGGCUUUGGAGCCAGGCGGCGGCCAGCCACGGGAAGUGUGCUAAGUGUGGAAAUUCCCUGCAAGCUUUUCAAGCAGCUCGAAGCCGUGAGCUCAGGAGGGACUUCAAAACUCCGAAGAGAAAUUCCACUUUCCUUUUCCUCGGCCCCGGGUCUUUCCAUUCCAAACACAGCCUCGCCGGUUGGAGCCACUUCAUGAAUGUGGGAUUGUUAGGGGUGGUGCGGAGACGAGCCAUUAUUUUUCUUAGGU